Molecule: small RNA, 809 nt
Filed under: Pan troglodytes (chimpanzee)
Lineage: Eukaryota; Metazoa; Chordata; Mammalia; Primates; Hominidae
Description: processed transcript
Source: RNAcentral
ACAGUCCUUAGUACAUUUCUGCAUGGAGAUCAUCCCUCUCCAGCCCAUUCACAGAAGGCUUCUGCAGAUUUUUCUAUAGUAUACUAACUAGAUUUACUUUUAGAUAAUUUCCAUGAUUUCUCCAGUUGAGCUUUGUGGAGCCUGUUCUCCAGCUUUGGAGGGAAGCUCAGAACCUGCCCCUUGCCUGAUUUUCUGUGGGAAGUGUCCUUUUCAGGCUGUGACACAGCACGAUACAGAGUUUUGUCUGAGGAGAUGCAACCCCAAGUGUUCUCCUGGGUUUGAUGGCAAUGACAGUAACCUGGAAAGAAUAUACAGGGCAAAUGAAGCGCAACAGAGGGGAAGAAAUAGAUUUUGAGACACCUGGGUCCAUUCUUGUCAACACCAACCUCCGUGCCCUGAUCAACUCUCGGACCUUCCAUGCCUUACCAUCACACUUCCAGCAGCAGCUCCUCUUCCUCCUGCCUGAAGUAGACAGACAGGUGGGGACGGAUGGCCUGUUGCGUCUCAGCAGCAGUGCACUAAAUAACGAGUUUUUUACCCAUGCGGCUCAGAGCUGGCGGGAGCGCCUGGCUGAUGGUGAAUUUACUCAUGAGAUGCAAGUCAGGAUACGACAGGAAAUGGAGAAGGAAAAGAAGGUGGAACAAUGGAAAGAAAAGUUCUUUGAAGACUACUAUGGACAGAAGCUGGGUUUGACCAGAGAAGAGUCAUUGCAGCAGAACGUGGGCCAGGAGGAGGCUGAAAUCAAAAGUGGCUUGUGUGUCCCAGGAGAAUCAGUGCGUAUACAGCGUGGUCCAGCCACCCGACAGCGA